RNAcentral lists this ribosomal RNA (477 nucleotides) under Streptomyces sp. 071-3.2-LH-A-12. Its description in RNAcentral is "bacterial SSU rRNA". It matches the Rfam family "Bacterial small subunit ribosomal RNA", at positions 23 to 517 of the family's 1533-position model. The record is from RNAcentral. Lineage: Bacteria; Bacillati; Actinomycetota; Actinomycetes; Kitasatosporales; Streptomycetaceae.
CUCAGGACGAACGCUGGCGGCGUGCUUAACACAUGCAAGUCGAACGAUGAAGCCUUUCGGGGUGGAUUAGUGGCGAACGGGUGAGUAACACGUGGGCAAUCUGCCCUUCACUCUGGGACAAGCCCUGGAAACGGGGUCUAAUACCGGAUAACACUCUGUCCCGCAUGGGACGGGGUUAAAAGCUCCGGCGGUGAAGGAUGAGCCCGCGGCCUAUCAGCUUGUUGGUGGGGUAAUGGCCUACCAAGGCGACGACGGGUAGCCGGCCUGAGAGGGCGACCGGCCACACUGGGACUGAGACACGGCCCAGACUCCUACGGGAGGCAGCAGUGGGGAAUAUUGCACAAUGGGCGAAAGCCUGAUGCAGCGACGCCGCGUGAGGGAUGACGGCCUUCGGGUUGUAAACCUCUUUCAGCAGGGAAGAAGCGAAAGUGACGGUACCUGCAGAAGAAGCGCCGGCUAACAUCGUGCCAGCAGCCC